GAUGAACGCUGGCGGCGUGCCUAAUACAUGCAAGUCGAGCGAACGGACGAGAAGCUUGCUUCUCUGAUGUUAGCGGCGGACGGGUGAGUAACACGUGGAUAACCUACCUAUAAGACUGGGAUAACUUCGGGAAACCGGAGAUAAUACCGGAUAAUAUUUUGAACCGCAUGGUUCAAUAGUGAAAGACGGUCUUGCUGUCCCUUAUAGAUGGAUCCGCGCUGCAUUGGCUAGUUUGUAAGGUAACGGCUUACCAAGGCAACGAUGCAUAGCCGACCUGAGAGGUGUUUCAGCGCCACGUGAAUGGAGACACGGUCCGGACCCCACCGGGAUGCAGCUGAACAGAAUCUUGCGCAAUGGGCGAAAGCCUGCUGGAACAACGCCGCGUGAGUGACGAAGGUCUUCGGUUCUUAGAACUCUGUUAUUAGGGAAGAACAUAUGUGUAAGUAACUGUGCGCAACUUGACGGUACCUAAUCAGAAAGCCACGGCUAACUACGUG
RNAcentral lists this ribosomal RNA (497 nucleotides) under uncultured bacterium. RNAcentral describes it as "partial 16S ribosomal RNA". It matches the Rfam family "Bacterial small subunit ribosomal RNA", at positions 28 to 507 of the family's 1533-position model. The record is from RNAcentral.